This 212-nucleotide long non-coding RNA is filed under the name Capsicum annuum. RNAcentral's name for it is "long non-coding RNA (CANN_LNC000651)". The record is from RNAcentral. Lineage: Eukaryota; Viridiplantae; Streptophyta; Magnoliopsida; Solanales; Solanaceae.
AACUUUUUCUAAAUCCGAGCACUGAUUUGGGCAUGGAGACGAUCCCAAUCAGUAUCUUGGCGUGGCAACCCGGUGUGGCUGUGAAUGCUAAAAGUGUCUACCAUGGCAUUAUGCUACCUGUGAUUGAGAUUCUUCUCUCACACACGCAACCGAUGUUUUGCAGCCAUGGCAUGGUUGGCUUCUCUUUUGCCUUAUCAUCACUCAUAUCUGAG